AGUGAACGCUGGCGGCGUGCUUAACGCAUGCAAGUCGAACGAGAACGGAAUAUAGCUUGCUAUAUUUGUCAGCUAAGUGGCGCACGGGUGAGUAAUGUAUAGAUAGCCUGCCCUUAAGAAAGGAAUAACAGUUGGAAACGACUGCUAAUGCCCUAUAUGUCUUUAAUACAUAAGUAUGCAAGGGAAACGCUUUAGUGCUUAAGGAUGGGUCUGUAUGGUAUCAGCUUGUUGGUGAGGUAAUGGCUCACCAAGGCUAUGACGCCUAACUGGUUUGAGAGGAUGAUCAGUCACACUGGAACUGAGACACGGGCCAGACUCCUACGGGAGGCAGCAGUGGGGAAUAUUGCACAAUGGACGAAAGUCUGAUGCAGCAACGCCGCGUGGAGGAUGACACAUUUCGGUGCGUAAACUCCUUUUAUAUAGGAAGAUAAUGACGGUACUAUAUGAAUAAGCACCGGCUAACUCCGUGCCAGCAGCCGCCGUAC
RNAcentral lists this ribosomal RNA (485 nucleotides) under uncultured bacterium. RNAcentral's name for it is "partial 16S ribosomal RNA". It matches the Rfam family "Bacterial small subunit ribosomal RNA", at positions 29 to 523 of the family's 1533-position model. The record is from RNAcentral.